UUGUCCUACGGGAGGCAGCAGUGAGGAAUAUUGGUCAAUGGGCUUACGCCUGAACCAGCCAAGUCGCGUGAGGGAAGACUGCCCUAUGGGUUGUAAACCUCUUUUGUCAGGGGGCAACGCCGGCUACGUGUAGCCGGACUGAGAGUACCUGAAGAAAAAGCAUCGGCCAACUCCGUGCCAGCAGCCGCGGUAAUACGGAGGAUCCGAGCGUUAUCCGGAUUUAUUGGGUUUAAAGGGAGCGUAGAUGGGUUGUUAAGUCAGUUGUGAAAGUUUGCGGCUCAACCGUAAAAUUGCAAUUGAUACUG
RNAcentral lists this ribosomal RNA (305 nucleotides) under uncultured bacterium. RNAcentral's name for it is "bacterial SSU rRNA". It matches the Rfam family "Bacterial small subunit ribosomal RNA", at positions 334 to 635 of the family's 1533-position model. The record is from RNAcentral.